CGGGGAGUGGCUCAGCUUGGAUAGAGCGCUGCGUUCGGGACGCAGAGGUCGGAGGUUCGAAUCCUCUCUCCCCGA
Molecule: transfer RNA, 75 nt
Filed under: Planctomycetota bacterium
Lineage: Bacteria; Pseudomonadati; Planctomycetota
Also listed under: 1 other name
Description: Planctomycetes bacterium (marine sediment metagenome) tRNA-Pro
Rfam family: tRNA
About the family: Transfer RNA (tRNA) molecules are approximately 80 nucleotides in length. Their secondary structure includes four short double-helical elements and three loops (D, anti-codon, and T loops).
Source: RNAcentral